Molecule: ribosomal RNA, 468 nt
Filed under: uncultured bacterium
Lineage: Bacteria
Description: partial 16S ribosomal RNA
Rfam family: Bacterial small subunit ribosomal RNA
Source: RNAcentral
GACGAACGCUGGCGGCGUGCUUAACACAUGCAAGUCGAACGGAAAGGCCCUGCUUUUGUGGGGUGCUCGAGUGGCGAACGGGUGAGUAACACGUGAGUAACCUGCCCUUGACUUUGGGAUAACUUCAGGAAACUGGGGCUAAUACCGGAUAGGAGCUCCUGCUGCAUGGUGGGGGUUGGAACGUUUCGGCGGUUGGGGAUGGACUCGCGGCUUAUCAGCUUGUUGGUGGAGUAGUGGCUUACCAAGGCUUUGACGGGUAGCCGGCCUGAGAGGGUGACCGGCCACAUGGGGACUGAGAUACGGCCCAGACUGCUACGGGAGGCAGCAGUGGGGAAUAUUGCACAAUGGGCGGAAGCCUGAUGAAGCAACGCCGCGUGCGGGAUGACGGCCUUCGGGUUGUAAACCGCUUUAGCCUGUGACGAAGCGUGAGUGACGGUAAUGGGUAAAGAAGCACCGGCUAACUACGUG